Molecule: long non-coding RNA, 424 nt
Organism: Juglans microcarpa x Juglans regia
Lineage: Eukaryota; Viridiplantae; Streptophyta; Magnoliopsida; Fagales; Juglandaceae
Exons: 3
Source: RefSeq, a predicted model, not a curated record
UCUCACUCUCACUCGCAUUCUUUUAUUUCUUUUUUUCACUUUUAUUCUUCUCUUUCUCUCAUAUAUUUCUUGAUGUCUGAUAUCUCUCUCGAUUUCUAUUAAAUAAUCUUCUCAUCUCCCUCACUCUCGCUCAGUCUUUCUUCUUUCUUUCUUUUUCUUACUUUUUUUCAUCUUCCCAUCUCUAUCUCUCUAUCUACCUCCCGUAAGCCCACUCUCACUUAUCAUAUUUUUGGCCACAUUUGCUAUUUGCAGCUGUCUAUAUUUUUGUUUCCAUCGUGGAUCUGCAGAGGAGAGUGUGAUCUCUUACACGCCUGAUCAGGUUUUGGUUAGCAACGGGGCCAAGCAGAGUAUUCAUCAAGCCUUUGCUUACAGUUUGUUCCCCCAGAGAUGAGGGAAGCUCAAUUUGGAGUAUGAGACAAAUAUA